This 253-nucleotide ribosomal RNA is filed under the name uncultured bacterium. Its description in RNAcentral is "partial 16S ribosomal RNA". It matches the Rfam family "Bacterial small subunit ribosomal RNA", at positions 524 to 776 of the family's 1533-position model. The record is from RNAcentral.
UACGUAGGGCGCAAGCGUUGUCCGGAAUUAUUGGGCGUAAAGAGCUCGUAGGCGGUCUGUCGCGUCGGAUGUGAAAAUCCAGGGCUCAACUCUGGACCUGCAUUCGAUACGGGCAGACUAGAGUUCGGCAGGGGAGACUGGAAUUCCUGGUGUAGCGGUGAAAUGCGCAGAUAUCAGGAGGAACACCGGUGGCGAAGGCGGGUCUCUGGGCCGAUACUGACGCUGAGGAGCGAAAGCGUGGGGAGCGAACAGG